Molecule: microRNA precursor, 206 nt
Filed under: Oryza barthii
Lineage: Eukaryota; Viridiplantae; Streptophyta; Magnoliopsida; Poales; Poaceae
Description: MIR812 microRNA precursor family
Rfam family: MIR812 microRNA precursor family
Source: Rfam by way of RNAcentral
ACGUAGCCAGAUUUUAAGUUUUUACUUGCAACGUUUGACCACUCGUCUUAUUCAAAAAUUUUUAAAAUUAUUAUUUAUUUUAUUUAUGACUUACUUUAUUAUCUACAGUAUUUUAAGCAUAACUUUUCAUUUUUUAUAUUUGCAAAAAAAAAUUUGAAUAAGACAAGUGGUUAAACGUUGCAAACAAAAACUUAAAAUCCCUUAUA